AGGCCUGUGACCACAGAAAAAGUAGCCAGCCCACCAUCCCUAGAUGAUUUUGCAGUCUUUGCACACCAGUGUGGCCAUAGGCUUGUUUUCUCCUGGACUGAGCCUGCAGAUCCUAUGAGCAAGCAUAUGUCCUGUGCUCCACUAGUCCUAGCUGGAUCGUGGACAUAUUACCAUCAUUACAAAUAUCAAUAGUUUGUGAUUACUUCAAACAAUCUGAAGUUGAAGGACCCCAGAUAUCCUUCAAAACAGGAAUCUGCAGGCAGAUGCUGAAACCAUGAAUACAGAGGGACAACUAUGUAAGCUCGUUAACGCUGACAUAGUUUUAUGAAUGCAAACAGCCAAGGAGAGCAGAUGUUGAGUGGUUGCCAGAGUGAAAUGAGGAAGCCCUGCUGCCAGCUUCCCACCAAAAAGCAGGCUCCGGCCCUGAACGCAGGAGAGUUGCUAAAGAAGUUGCUCACAGAGGCGGGAGAGAGCAGGCUACUGGUUUCCUUCAAAAUGGAAUAGGAAACAGAAAACGUGCAUCAUUUCUUCGCACUUGAAUCAGCAACAUGACACAGGACUUUGGCAUCAGGGGCUCUGACCUCCAGUGUCAGCCUUCCAAGGAGAGAAUGGUAGUGUAAUCAUGACUGGAGAGCAACUGUUCCAGAUAAGAAUAUUUUGGCAGAUUUUAAAAGCAACUAUUACUGGUGUUGAUUGACUUAAAAAUAUUUUAAAAAUAUAACAUGUUAUAAACCUCUUCAAUAUCAAGAGGCAGGAUAUAA
Homo sapiens (human) is the source of this 761-nucleotide long non-coding RNA. Ensembl annotates it as long intergenic non-protein coding RNA 1491. The record is from Ensembl. NCBI's taxonomy places the organism in Eukaryota, Metazoa, Chordata, Mammalia, Primates, Hominidae.